RNAcentral lists this ribosomal RNA (477 nucleotides) under uncultured organism. RNAcentral's name for it is "partial 16S ribosomal RNA". It matches the Rfam family "Bacterial small subunit ribosomal RNA", at positions 331 to 799 of the family's 1533-position model. The record is from RNAcentral.
GUACACUCCUGCGGGAGGCAGCAGUGGGGAAUAUUGCACAAUGGGCGCAAGCCUGAUGCAGCCAUGCCGCGUGUAUGAAGAAGGCCUUCGGGUUGUAAAGUACUUUCAGCGGGGAGGAAGGCGAUAAGGUUAAUAACCUUGUUGAUUGACGUUACCCGCAGAAGAAGCACCGGCUAACUCCGUGCCAGCAGCCGCGGUAAUACGGAGGGUGCAAGCGUUAAUCGGAAUUACUGGGCGUAAAGCGCACGCAGGCGGUCUGUCAAGUCGGAUGUGAAAUCCCCGGGCUCAACCUGGGAACUGCAUUCGAAACUGGCAGGCUAGAGUCUUGUAGAGGGGGGUAGAAUUCCAGGUGUAGCGGUGAAAUGCGUAGAGAUCUGGAGGAAUACCGGUGGCGAAGGCGGCCCCCUGGACAAAGACUGACGCUCAGGUGCGAAAGCGUGGGGAGCAAACAGGAUUAGAAACCCGUGUAGUCCCAUG